Molecule: long non-coding RNA, 471 nt
Filed under: Homo sapiens (human)
Lineage: Eukaryota; Metazoa; Chordata; Mammalia; Primates; Hominidae
Description: HSALNT0011471
Source: RNAcentral
UGAACACCAUGUCUGCCCAUGUGAUAGGGUGGAAUUCUUCUGUCCUUCUCACCUGAGUACAACAGGCUUGUGCCAUCCAGAAGAAUGAAAAGGUAACUCAGAAUAUGUGGGGUCCUUAUAGCCCAGGUGGAUAUCCUUAUGAAGAAGAAGAAGUAUGGGCCCCACAAAUCGCAGCCCCACCUCAGGACUUCUGGGGAGGAGAGAGAGAGGAGCUGGAGACAGAGUUCUAUCACCGAUGACCAGUGAUUUAUCAACCAUGCCUACAUAGUGGAACUGCCAUAAAAACCCCUAAAUGACAAAGUUUGAAGAGCUUCUGAGUUGGUGAACACAUGAAGAUGCUGAGAGGGUGGUGUGCACACAGGGCAUGGAAGCUUUGUGCCCCUUCCUCCAUACCUUUCCCUAUGCCUCUUCCAUUUGGCUAUUCCUGAUUUGAGUUCUUCAUAAUAAAUUGGUAAUUGUAAGUAAAAUACU